Non-coding RNA from Camellia sinensis, 805 nucleotides. NCBI's taxonomy places the organism in Eukaryota, Viridiplantae, Streptophyta, Magnoliopsida, Ericales, Theaceae. The record is from RefSeq and is a predicted model, not a curated record.
AAUGUGUAAAAAUGUAUGAGAGAUACAUUUGUAUCAAUGGUUGAGAUCUUUCCUGAUCAGCAUCUAACGGUUGUCUCUCAAACACUCCUCUCAUUUCUACCCAAGUGUAUCAAACACUCCUCUUCUUCUGUGUCUCACAGGUCUGCCUCCCACCUAACCCUUCUCCCUCUCUUCUUCUUGAUUUCAAAUGGGAGUCGAGUGUUCUGUAAAUCCUUCUUGGUACCUUCACUCGCUUCGACUGAACUCAUUCGAUUCAAGUUUUUCAGAGCUCGAACUUCCUCAUCCAACCCUUCUAGGGUUUUUCGAAUGGCCACCGAGCCUCCUUCUUCAUCCUCAUCAUCACCACCACACUCCGAUUCAUCCUCGGUCCCCGCUUCUCCUGCCAUCGAUUUUCUCUCUCUCUGUCACCGUCUCAAGACGACGAAGAGAAGGGAUGUUGAGAAUCCAGAGUCCAUAGCCGAUCGUAUGUAUCGAAUGGGGUUGAUGGCUCUCAAAUAGGAAUGCUGAUUGAUCUACAUCAAGUUGGAAUGAUGCUAAGGAAUUCGGAGAAUCGGAAGUCGGCAUCAGGUUCUCCAGAGAAGGAAGACAGGUACUACACCACGAGAGGGUCAGUGGCUGGGUUGGGGUUGGGGUUGGAUGGAAAGGCCGGUGGUUCGAUUAUGAUGGAUGGAGGAGAGAGAGUUGGUGGUAGUGGCGGGGAUGAAAACAGAGGAGAGAUUGUUUGGCCGAAGCUGUAUAUAAGUUUGUCGAGUAAAGAGAAAGAGGAGGAUUUUAUGGCCAUCAAAGGCUGUAAACCUCCUCAGAG